GAUGAACGCUGGCGGCGUGCCUAAUACAUGCAAGUCGAGCGAACGGACGAGAAGCUUGCUUCUCUGAUGUUAGCGGCGGACGGGUGAGUAACACGUGGAUAACCUACCUAUAAGACUGGGAUAACUUCGGGAAACCGGAGCUAAUACCGGAUAAUAUUUUGAACCGCAUGGUUCAAAAGUAAAAGACGGUCUUGCUGUCACUUAUAGAUGGAUCCGCGCUGCAUUAGCUAGUUGGUAAGGUAACGGCUUACCAAGGCAACGAUGCAUAGCCGACCUGAGAGGGUGAUCGGCCACACUGGAACUGAGACACGGUCCAGACUCCUACGGGAGGCAGCAGUAGGGAAUCUUCCGCAAUGGGCGAAAGCCUGACGGAGCAACGCCGCGUGAGUGAUGAAGGUCUUCGGAUCGUAAAACUCUGUUAUUAGGGAAAAACAUAUGUGUAAGUAACUGUGCACAUCUUGACGGUACCUAAUCAGAAAGCCACGGCUAACUACGUG
This 497-nucleotide ribosomal RNA is filed under the name uncultured bacterium. RNAcentral describes it as "partial 16S ribosomal RNA". It matches the Rfam family "Bacterial small subunit ribosomal RNA", at positions 28 to 507 of the family's 1533-position model. The record is from RNAcentral.